RNAcentral lists this ribosomal RNA (253 nucleotides) under Mumia sp. RNAcentral's name for it is "partial 16S ribosomal RNA". It matches the Rfam family "Bacterial small subunit ribosomal RNA", at positions 524 to 776 of the family's 1533-position model. Lineage: Bacteria; Bacillati; Actinomycetota; Actinomycetes; Propionibacteriales; Nocardioidaceae. The record is from RNAcentral. RNAcentral also lists the same sequence under 1 other name.
UACGUAGGGUGCAAGCGUUGUCCGGAAUUAUUGGGCGUAAAGGGCUCGUAGGCGGUCCAUCGCGUCGGGAGUGAAAAGCUGGGGCUUAACCCCAGUCCUGCUUCCGAUACGGGUGGACUAGAGGUAGGUAGGGGAGAACGGAAUUCCUGGUGUAGCGGUGAAAUGCGCAGAUAUCAGGAGGAACACCGGUGGCGAAGGCGGUUCUCUGGGCCUUACCUGACGCUGAGGAGCGAAAGCAUGGGGAGCAAACAGG